Molecule: unclassified non-coding RNA, 532 nt
Filed under: Penicillium glabrum
Lineage: Eukaryota; Fungi; Ascomycota; Eurotiomycetes; Eurotiales; Aspergillaceae
Description: sequence contains 18S rRNA gene, ITS1, 5.8S rRNA gene, ITS2, 28S rRNA gene
Rfam family: 5.8S ribosomal RNA (bases 212-365)
Source: RNAcentral
ACAAGGUUUCCGUAGGUGAACCUGCGGAAGGAUCAUUACUGAGUGAGGGCCCUCUGGGUCCAACCUCCCACCCGUGUUUAUUGUACCUUGUUGCUUCGGUGCGCCCGCCUCACGGCCGCCGGGGGGCUUCUGCCCCCGGGUCCGCGCGCACCGGAGACACUAUUGAACUCUGUCUGAAGAUUGCAGUCUGAGCAUAAACUAAAUAAGUUAAAACUUUCAACAACGGAUCUCUUGGUUCCGGCAUCGAUGAAGAACGCAGCGAAAUGCGAUAACUAAUGUGAAUUGCAGAAUUCAGUGAAUCAUCGAGUCUUUGAACGCACAUUGCGCCCCCUGGUAUUCCGGGGGGCAUGCCUGUCCGAGCGUCAUUGCUGCCCUCAAGCACGGCUUGUGUGUUGGGCUCCGUCCCCCCGGGGACGGGUCCGAAAGGCAGCGGCGGCACCGAGUCCGGUCCUCGAGCGUAUGGGGCUUUGUCACCCGCUCUGUAGGCCCGGCCGGCGCCAGCCGACAACCAAUCAUCCUUUUUUCAGGUGAC